RNAcentral lists this long non-coding RNA (2757 nucleotides) under Coffea arabica (coffee). RNAcentral describes it as "long non-coding RNA (CARA_LNC003248)". Lineage: Eukaryota; Viridiplantae; Streptophyta; Magnoliopsida; Gentianales; Rubiaceae. The record is from RNAcentral.
CAAGACAUACAAUUCAAAUACGUUCGUACAAGCCACAUACAAACCCAGGGUUUACACCUUUCCAGCUUCAAGUGGCAACCCGAAACAAAAGCUACAUUGUUUAAUUCAAACUACAUGCUUAAAGUACAAGUAGAUCUCAAGUCUUCCUCAGUUGUCAGAACCUGUAAAAGAAAACCUGUGACGGCCCCACCUCCCCCUAAGGCGAACCAGAGGGUUCGGCGGGCCGCCUGUCCAGCUCUCGCCGGGACUCAGUCGUUCACUACAAUCCUCAAAUAUAUUACAAUAUAACUCUCAAAAUUACAUCAAAUUCUCCAAUAAUUACAUAUCACAAAUGCAGCGGAAACUAAUUCCAAUCGUGGGAUGUAUACUUACAUCCAUAUCAAUUUCAAAUAUUUAUACAAGACCAACUCGUACAUAAAAUAGAUCCAAACUUAAACUGUACACGAUAUAAGCCAUCCAGUCACGUGAAUAAGCACUCCAAGCUUUUCUUCGCCUUGAGCCCUGUGGGGGGGAAAUAAAACAUUUUUGGGGUGAGCUAGAAGCUCAGCGAGUAACCAUUAAAAUCAGUAAUCAAUUCAGUUUCACAGUCGUUCAUUUCAGUGAUGUCAUGAUUUCAAGAUCAAAGGUACAUUUAUUGCUCUCGUGAGCCAGCGAAAUCGUUGUACUUAAACACCCAACGCUCCAAACAAACAUUAAACAGUAAACAGUCAGUGGGGGAGCCAUUUGCUCCAGAUGAACAGUACACAGAGGUGGAGACGUUGGUGUUCAGCACACGAAUUCCAAGCACUCAUUUAAGCCAAAACAUGUCAUGGGCCACAUGCAAGCACUCAUGAUAUGCAAUCAAGUAAAUAGUGCAAUAAACGGUUCAUAAGUAAUUUUGGAAACAGUUUAGGGUCACUCACCUCCACGGCUCAGAAACCAUCCAUCAUGUAUCAUUGCCUUGCUCAACUCCAAGCCUUAGAUCACAAACCCAAUGCAAACAAGUCCCUUCAAAGUUCGGACAGCACUUCCCCUACAUUUGCUAACUUUUUCCAGCCAUCAUGGCUUCAUUAUUACUCCAGCCAGUCCCAAAGUCACACAAAUAAGUUCAUCUAAUAUCCAUUCAGCAAGCUCCAAGUAGUACAAAGACAAGUCAAGCUAGGGAAAAGUCCGGAAAUGAAGGUUAAGCUCAAAACCAGAAAAACAGUUUUGACGUCAUAAUGCGGUAAUGGCACAACUCUCACUACAAUUAUCGGUUGGGGGUGUAAGACCCACCGUUUCGAAGCUAUGAAAUAGGGCUACAACAAUGUAGAAGGUCACUCAAUCCAGUUCCUAGCCCAACUAGGUCAAAAAUGCCAAACACUAAACCAGAAUCACCAAAACAGGUUUGCAAAAAACAGAAAACUGUAAUCGGUAUAUCUCAGUCCAUACAAGUCCAAAUGCCGAAAAUCCAAAGGAAUAAGUUAGCUAAGACAUCCAGCUACAUUUCAUCAGAAGACACCAACUCCAAAAUCCAAACCAAUUCCAGUCAAAAUGGCCAAUUACUAUCGCAGUUUUCGCAUUCUGAUCAAAGCAGAACAGCUACAGUAAUUUCGGCAUAACUCACUCUACACUAAUCCAAAUGACCUAAAAUUUUACAGGCACCUCAAACACAUCAAUACCUACAACUUUCAUGUUUUGAGCAAAGUCCAAUUCGGCCUCUAACCUUAUGAUAUAAAACCGGACAGAAUUAGGGGUUUAUGAACCCUAACUUUCCAAAAUUUAUUCCAAAUCCAAAAUUGGUUGCAAAUAUCAAUCAUUUCCAUCCACUAGAGUCAUAACCCCUCAUUAUCAAUCAUCAUAAACAACCACAACACCAUAAUCCAAUUAAACCAGAAAAAUCAUCAUAAAAUUGAAAACUUCACCAAAUCACUUCAAACCAAGAUAAAAACCAGAAAUUUCAUCACUCUAAUCACUACUAAUCAUAUCUUAAGCAUCAAUAGGUGUAGGUGGAAGUUUAAGCUUCACUUACCAAGAAACAAGAGAGAGAGAGAUGUUGGCCACCUUAGACCUUCAAACAAACUUCACUACAACACUUACUAGCACUAGAAGAAAGGUUUUUAUGGAGUAGAAUCUAAUCUAGGCUUUUGUUUGUGGGAGAUUGAAGCAAAUGGAGCUUGAAAGUUGAAGAAAUGCACUUCCUUCUUGAGCUAGGGAGAUCCGGCCACCAAGAGAAGAAAAUGGUGAUUUUUGUGCAUUUUUUUGAUAUUUAAUCCUUUGGUCAAAAAAAGGCAAGAAAGUGAAUAGUAAUUCUUAAAGUCCAACCAAUGAGAAUGUGACACUUGUCACCUCAUUAAAUGCAUUCCUAUCCUUUCUUUCUUCUCUCACAUCAAUCAAAUCACCUCCUCUAUUUAUCUCUUAACACCCGAUAAAUUUAACACAGUAUCCGGAAUUUAACCUAAUUGGCCGAAUUUUUCCGAACUUUUCGCACUAGUGGGUCCCACGUCCGAUAUACGUUCUUAAUUUUUAAAAAACUCACUAAUGCUAGAAAAAUCAUCUAAAAACUUUAGUUGCUCAUAAAAUCCACCCAGAUAAUAUUUCUAAGCCAGAAGUGCAAAAAUUAUGCAAUUAAAGGAACUAAAACCCUAGGAAAAUAUUAAAGUUUUUACGGGUUCUCACACUCUUUUUUUUCGGGGCGUCACAAAACCACAACGUGGGAUGAGCUACACAGCCCAGUGAGGUUCCAAGACGCUCUAACAGUUCAAAUAGGUCAGGUAAGUUGUGCAUAUCAUAUGCAUG